AAUCUUAACUAAUUAUAUCAUAAUAUUUUAAUAUCAAAUUUAACGUUAUCUACGGAAUUUUCUGUAGAUAACGUUAAAUUUGAUAUGAAAAUAUUAUGAUAUACUUAGAUAAGAUUUUA
This 119-nucleotide microRNA precursor is filed under the name Cajanus cajan (pigeon pea). Its description in RNAcentral is "miRNA gene-KK1_050438". The record is from RNAcentral. Lineage: Eukaryota; Viridiplantae; Streptophyta; Magnoliopsida; Fabales; Fabaceae.